CAAUAGCGUAUAUUAAAGUUGUUGCAGUUAAAAAGCUCGUAGUUGGAUUUUUAGGAUGGUACUUAGAUUUCAAUUUCUCACUUCCUUUUAUGGUUUGUGUUAAAUUUUCUAUACUAUUUUAUAUUUAUAAUCUCUGUUGUUGAAUUAUUUUCUUUCGAGUGAUUAAUUUCGUCUUGUUGGGUAGAUAAUUCUCAACGCUUAGGGGGUUAUAUCAUUUACUGUGAAAAAAUCAGCGCGUUCAAAGCAGGCUUUAUGCUCUCUGAAUGUCUCAGCAUGGAAUAAUAAGAUAAGUCUUUUCUUUAUUUUGUUGGUUUGCGAAGAGAAGAAAUGAUUAACAGGGACAGUUGGGGGUAUUCGUAUUGGGAUGUCAGAGGUGAAAUUCAUAGAUUUUCUCAAGACGAACUACUGCGAAAGCAUUUACCAAGGAUGUUUUCAUUAAUCAAGAACGAAAGUUUGGGGAUCGAAGAUGAUCAGAUACCGU
This 481-nucleotide ribosomal RNA is filed under the name uncultured eukaryote. Its description in RNAcentral is "bacterial SSU rRNA". It matches the Rfam family "Eukaryotic small subunit ribosomal RNA", at positions 592 to 1018 of the family's 1831-position model. The record is from RNAcentral.